GAUGAACGCUGGCGGCGUGCUUAACACAUGCAAGUCGAACGAAGCACUUUAUUUGAUUUCCUUCGGGACUGAUUAUUUUGUGACUGAGUGGCGGACGGGUGAGUAACGCGUGGGUAACCUGCCUUGUACAGGGGGAUAACAGUUGGAAACGGCUGCUAAUACCGCAUAAGCGCACGGCAUCGCAUGAUGCAGUGUGAAAAACGCCGGUGGUAUAAGAUGGACCCGCGUUGGAUUAGCUAGUUGGUGAGGUAACGGCCCACCAAGGCGACGAUCCAUAGCCGACCUGAGAGGGUGACCGGCCACAUUGGGACUGAGACACGGCCCAAACUCCUACGGGAGGCAGCAGUGGGGAAUAUUGCACAAUGGGCGAAAGCCUGAUGCAGCGACGCCGCGUGAGCGAAGAAGUAUUUCGGUAUGUAAAGCUCUAUCAGCAGGGAAGAUAAUGACGGUACCUGACUAAGAAGCACCGGCUAAAUACGUG
RNAcentral lists this ribosomal RNA (481 nucleotides) under uncultured bacterium. RNAcentral's name for it is "partial 16S ribosomal RNA". It matches the Rfam family "Bacterial small subunit ribosomal RNA", at positions 28 to 507 of the family's 1533-position model. The record is from RNAcentral.